ACUUUACAAUGCGGGAAACCGUGAUAAGGGAACCUCGAGUGCCAGGUUACAAAUCUGGCUGUCGAGAUGCCUAAAAAGCAUUUCAUAGCAAGGGCCGGGCAAGACCGGUGCCAGCCGCCGCGGUAACACCGGCGGCUCGAGUGGUAACCGUUAUUAUUGGGUCUAAAGGGUCUGUAGCCGGCCGGAUAAGUCUCUUGAGAAAUCUGGCAGCUUAACUGUCAGGCUUUCAGGAGAUACUGUCUGGCUCGAGGCCGGGAGAGGUGAGAGGUACUUCAGGGGUAGGGGUGAAAUCUUGUAAUCCUUGAAGGACCACCAGUGGCGAAGGCGUCUCACCAGAACGGACCUGACGGCAAGGGACGAAAGCUAGGGGCACGAACCGG
This 380-nucleotide ribosomal RNA is filed under the name uncultured archaeon. Its description in RNAcentral is "bacterial SSU rRNA". It matches the Rfam family "Archaeal small subunit ribosomal RNA", at positions 347 to 727 of the family's 1478-position model. The record is from RNAcentral.